AUGGCUUUCCCCCUAAGAUCGAUAAGUUUGCCUUCUAGGCCUCACAUCAGUCAGGCGGAAGUUGAACAAGAGCUGCUGAGCCUAGAGGCUAGCAUCUCUUCCUCCAUUACCAUCGGCACAAUGUGCGAGGGUCUUAUGAGGCUUGGAAACAUCUACAAUGGUGUUGAAGAAAUCAUUGGCCUACCAAGCAACCAAGUAUGCUCCGCCCAGGAGAGGAAGAUGUUGGAUGGAGAAAUGGAAGGUUCUCUCGAGCUACUAGAUCUCUGCAGCACCAUGCAAGAGAUCUUCGUCGAGAUGAAAACCAUUAUCCAAGAGCUGCAAGUGGCACUAAGAAAAGGAGCUGAAGCAGCUUCUCAAGCCAAGAUCCAGUCUUACACUGUCUUGACGAAGAAGGCCAAGAAACAUUUCAAGAAGACCGCGAAGAAGGCUACUUCUGAAGGUUGCAGCAUGGUCAUGCUAUUGAGCAAGGCUAGAGAGGUCUCUAUCUCUCUGCUGGAAUCCACAGUCCUCCUCUUGUCAAAGCAAAUUGAAAUGCGCAAACAGUCUCUUAUCUCCAAGGCAUUUCACAAGACGAAGAAGCCAGUUGUUUGUGAGGAGGAGCAAUUGCAGGAGUUAGAGUGCAGCAUCGCAGAUCUUGAGAACGGAGCAGGACAUCUGUUCAGGAAGUUAGUCCAGAGCAGAGUUUCCCUCCUAAACAUCCUUAGCUCAUAG
This 711-nucleotide ribosomal RNA is filed under the name Triticum aestivum (bread wheat). RNAcentral's name for it is "partial small subunit ribosomal RNA". The record is from RNAcentral. Lineage: Eukaryota; Viridiplantae; Streptophyta; Magnoliopsida; Poales; Poaceae.